RNAcentral lists this unclassified non-coding RNA (322 nucleotides) under uncultured fungus. Its description in RNAcentral is "partial contains small subunit ribosomal RNA, internal transcribed spacer 1, and 5.8S ribosomal RNA". The stretch from base 1 to 73 matches the Rfam family "Eukaryotic small subunit ribosomal RNA", at positions 1759 to 1831 of the family's 1831-position model. Lineage: Eukaryota; Fungi. The record is from RNAcentral.
GCAAACUUGGUCAUUUAGAGGAAGUAAAAGUCGUAACAAGGUAACCGUAGGUGAACCUGCGGUUGGAUCAUUAGAAAAUUUUGGAGCUUCCGCUUCAGAAACACUGUGUGCACCGUUUUCUGUCUCUGGCAGGACCAGUGAGCAGCGAUGCUCUCCCCUGCCAAAGGAGUGGGGGCUGCUGCUUUGCGGCGGCCUCGCUUCUACUUUGAAUAACUCUUUGUCUGUUUGUAUUUUGUCUGAAAUAUUCUUCACCUAGCGUGAGAAAUUGAAAACAACUUUUGGCAACGGAUCUCUUGGCUCUCGCAUCGAUGAAGAACGCAGC